Herpailurus yagouaroundi (jaguarundi) is the source of this 884-nucleotide long non-coding RNA. RefSeq lists it as uncharacterized. NCBI's taxonomy places the organism in Eukaryota, Metazoa, Chordata, Mammalia, Carnivora, Felidae. The transcript is spliced from 3 exons. The record is from RefSeq and is a predicted model, not a curated record.
AAAGACCUCAAACUUGGACCAUUGGCAGACUGCACCUUGGUAUGUCUUCUCCAUGGCUCUUAAGGAAGAGGACAUAAACUCCUUACAAGGUUUGAUGAAGCCUAUGGACCCUGUAUCAAAAUAAGUUUUGUGCUACAGAUAUUCCCAGCACAUCCAAUUUCAAGCUACCAACAUGAUGUCACCAAACGUGGAGUUGAAGAUGCGCACAAGCAGGUCUCAUGUGAUGGUUCGAGCCAGCUCCAGCACACCACUUACAUUGGGCUAGAAUUACUACAUCUCUGAACUAAUGACCUUCUGGAACAGUGCCCAGAACAUAGCAGCUCUACAGGUGAGCUGGACUUUGAUCCGAUGAGGUCUCUGCUGCGCUUGGAUCAAGGUCAUGGUUUGGGUCAGUUUCGUCCCAUGUGUUUCUUUUUCUUUGGAAAUCAGUAGGUGCCCCUGGGAAUAUUUUCCUCAUCGUGAUUGAAGAGUACAAAAGUGCUUUCCCAAAUGGACACACACAUUAAGAGCCUCUGCUGGCAUUACAUCCACCAACAUCCCAAUUGCUCGAAUCAAGCCAUCUCAAAGUCAAGGGUCAGGAAAAUAUACUUUAUUCACUAUGAGACUGUGGGAAGGGGCUGAAUGCAUUAACAUUACAGAGUAGUAGAACCAAUAAUUCAACUCAUCUCACCCCAGACUAGUAGAGUAAAACAAGGGUCAGUGGGCUAAAGCUUUAAAAAGAUUGAUUCUGGUAUGAUGUAAUAAAAAACUGGAUGAUCAUUGAAACUGUCUAAUAAUAGAUUCCAACCAGUGAAGUCUUUGUGCCAGAAGAGGUUAGACAGAGUCCAAGGGCUCACUUCCCAGGAGUGGCAUAGACAGCAUUCCAGUAUCAUUUAGAAGGUGAG